CUUUGAAACAAUUAUAGUGGGAAGAGUUUUCUCUGCCCCAGUAAUGUUAUUUACUGACCAUUAUAAAAAUAGUUAUACAACAUUUUCAUUAAGAAAAGCAUCCAGGAACUUCCCAAAGUCUACUACAUUGAUUGAGAUGGUGUGGCCUUGAGGCAUGUGGCUCAGUUGUUGAGGGAGCAGUCCCAUGAGUAGAGAGAGGGUGCAGAAAGAUCCUGAGAUCCCAGAACAAGCAAGAGAUGUGUAUCAUCCUGCAGAGUGUCAAGGCAAGGCAUAAAACCAAACUGGUAUCUACCACAAGGAUUAUGGACACUCUGUAAGAAGAGUCAAACACUUGUCCCGCUGCUUUUACUGUGAUAUGUCCAUGAGGCAGAUUGUCAAGCUUUU
Molecule: long non-coding RNA, 384 nt
Organism: Alligator sinensis (Chinese alligator)
Lineage: Eukaryota; Metazoa; Chordata; Crocodylia; Alligatoridae
Exons: 3
Source: RefSeq, a predicted model, not a curated record